Cryptomeria japonica (Japanese cedar) is the source of this 1952-nucleotide RNA transcript. RefSeq lists it as uncharacterized. The record is from RefSeq and is a predicted model, not a curated record. The transcript is spliced from 6 exons. Lineage: Eukaryota; Viridiplantae; Streptophyta; Pinopsida; Cupressales; Cupressaceae.
UAACAAAAAUUAACCCUCCUGUUUUCCUGAUAUUUAAGUAAUCACUACAUUAAUCACCAGUGGGUGAUUUUUUUAUCUCUUGAAAUUAUUGUAUAAGGCUCAAAUUUCUGAUAAUUGACGUGCAUUUCAGCUCAUCAUAAGAAUCUUGCAGAGACGUUUUGUAAGGGUUUGAACAUUGUUAGUUACCAAUUCAAUCAUCGGAGUCGCGGAGUUGCAGGCAAUUUGGUCUGAAAACAGAAUCUGAACGGUGUUAUAUGAGCAAUAUGAAAUUCAAGGAAGGGCAUAGGGUUGAGGUUUGUCGCUCAGAUGGUGGUACUUUGCGAUCCUGGUACAGAGCCAGGAUCAUUUCACACAAUAGAGACUGCUACAGAGUUCAGUAUGACAACCUUUUAAAUGACCAUGGGAAACAUGUUGUGGAAGACGUGUAUGCUGACAUAGUUAGACCAGAACCUCCUACUAUGACAGAAACAAGAAAAUUGGGUCCUGGGGAUCUGAUAGAAGUGUAUGAUAACCAUUCAUGGAGGGAGGGUAGAGUUAUCAAAGCUUUACCCAGCAGAUUAUUUGUUGUCAAACUGAUGGAGCCACUACGACAGAGAUCUUUUCACCAGUCUGUUAUCCGGCCCCGGCUGUUUUGGGAGAAUGACAGUUGGCUUCAUCAUGUUGAGGUCGGUAGAGACCAUUUAGCAAGAAUGAAAUUCCAAGUCCAAAAGGAAUUGCAUAUUGGAUGCCAGUUUCAAGAACAAAAUGUGAAACGGAAUACUGCAUGCCAGGAAUAUGAACAAGUUGUGGCUGAAUACCAUCUACACAAACUUAUAUCAAAGAAUGCAAAGAGAAAACCAGGCAGUUGUAUGCAAUCUGCAUAUGAAGGAGAUUUGAAGACUGAAGCUGCUCCUCAGAAAAGGAGAUUAAUUCAAAAGUUUAGGGAUCAAGAAGCAGUAGCACACUCUUCCUUUCCUAUGCUGGAGAAGAUCCAUGGGACAAUAGGAAAAAAGGGUGGCAACAAGAUCGGUUAGCAGCAAUGAUAGGGCAUGGUUGCAUGUUGGCAAUGGUGUGCAGCUAGCUGGUUCCCAAGCUUGCUGCUUUCGGUCAAAUGACGUAUUUAAAUGCUUGUUAGAUGGCAACGAUAUUCUUUGAUUAAUGGUCAUUGAAUGGGAUGGAUGAUCUUUGGGCAGCAGUAAAGCUAAUGUGCUCACUGUUUUUUCUGUCAGUUAACAUCAACCCGCUUUAGUGCAAGUUAUCGUCUUCACAAAAUUGGCAGCUUUUUGAAAGCAGGAUAAACAAAAUAAUCUGCCCGGGAAAUAUCAUUUAUUUGAAAAUGUCUGGAGAGCUUUGAUUUCAUAUAUUGUAGCUUUGAUUUCAUAUAUUGGAGCUGAAUCUGAGUUGUAUUAUUGAAAAGAGGACAAAGCUGCACUUGUAAACAGUGCAUGGAUGGAGAAAGAAGUAGCAACUGUACAUGUAAAGUGUGAAGGCAAAGCUUCUGGCUAUAGGAACGAACGCAUUGCAACAAAAGUAGCUAAGAGUUCUUUGGGGAGAAGAGCUCCUGUACAUAACCCCCUCCUGAACAUAUCAAGGAACCAUUUUGCUAGUUGACAGCGUGCGUUGUUUGCAUUAAUUUGUAAUACGAAUGUUUCCCUGAUUUUGUUAGUUCUAAAAGUUAAUCAAUAAAAAGGUAGCAAGGAGCUCCGGAAAGCAAGCAAACUACAAGAUGCGCCUAGAAAGAAUUGUUCUCCAUCAUGGAAUAAAUUAAUAUGCAUUUACAAAUGUUGUGAUAGGUCUGCUAUCGAGUUGGGUAUCUCCUCAGAUUACUCUGGAUAUUCCUUGGAAUUGUAUCUUUCAGCAACUUUUCACUUCCCUGGACUUUUAACUACAGGGUCCCAUAGACUAUUUGAUCUGGUGGACGUUAUGACCAUUUUGGUCUGGUGAUAGAGUUAUGAAAAAUCUCUAUUUGUCUA